CAGAUUCCGAUAUCCACUUUGUUUUGUCUCUCGCUCUCCCUUGGCCCUUUGAAAUAUUUAGUAGGAAUUCUUGACUAACGCGCUCGCAAUCGCCGCGUUCCCCCGUCGUCCCCGAGAGGCGUCCGUCCGUCAAGCGGCCAACAUCUGGAAGCGGACAGCCGUUCCCUCCGGACGCCGCGGAUGGCCGCGUCGGAUCGAGCGGCUGCUUCCUUCCUGCCUUCCGUGGCGGGCCCGCCGGAGAGACUCUUGUCCCUCAUGCCACAAAUCCAUCCAGCCAAUCAUCUGCGGCGUAUCCCAGUUAGGUUGGAGCUGGGGUCCAUUCCCUGCUGGCUUGAGGUAGACCGGGGGCGGGUUCACCAUCUGUGGUUUCUGAAGUGGUGGAUGGGUUCCUGAAGAAUGGAUCCCCCUUGGUUUGCCACCCCCCCUUCCUUCCUCCGUGUCUUUUGGUACCUGCUGAUAGUGUCGUGGUGAAAUGAGGAGAGGAACCUGGCUAAUCCGCGUUACCGGGGAGAAUAUCGGCAACGGCGCAGAUGAGAACGGGGAGAACAGAUGGCCGGGGGAAACAGGAGUCACCUCGCACCAAAUUAACCGCCGAGCAUCUUUGCAUCCCCCGCUGGGAGCUGAAGAUUCUCGCCGCUGAAAACGCCACAGCUCGACGACGACAUGGCAAGGUGCCAGUUGGGCCACUGUGUGGAAAAGUUACAAGUUGCGUGGUUUCUCAGCUAAAGUCCGCGGACGCUCCUUCCUCUCUGCAACAUCCACGCAGGCUCUGGUUCCGAGCAAAAGAGAGCGAGCCAAGUGCGCGCUCCUCGCUUGCGCUAGUGCGCACCCGCCCGCCUGUCAAUCAACGAGCGCCCGCCCACCCCUCCACGAGAAACAUCAUAGCGCACUGACACCAAGUAAGUGGCAAUGAAUAAACGCCGGAGCAUAAGGAAGGAGGAAGAUGAUGAUGAUGAUGAUG
Molecule: long non-coding RNA, 961 nt
Organism: Syngnathus typhle (broad-nosed pipefish)
Lineage: Eukaryota; Metazoa; Chordata; Actinopteri; Syngnathiformes; Syngnathidae
Exons: 3
Source: RefSeq, a predicted model, not a curated record